Molecule: ribosomal RNA, 402 nt
Filed under: uncultured bacterium
Lineage: Bacteria
Description: bacterial SSU rRNA
Rfam family: Bacterial small subunit ribosomal RNA
Source: RNAcentral
GAUGAACGCUAGCUACAGGCUUAACACAUGCAAGUCGAGGGGAAACGAUAGAGAAAGCCUUGCUUUUUCUAGGCGUCGACCGGCGCACGGGUGAGUAACGCGUAUCCAACCUGCCCAUCACUUGGGGAUAACCUUGCGAAAGUAAGACUAAUACCCAAUGACGUCUCUAGAAGACAUCUGAAGGAGAUUAAAGAUUUAUCGGUGAUGGAUGGGGAUGCGUCUGAUUAGCUUGUUGGCGGGGUAACGGCCCACCAAGGCGACGAUCAGUAGGGGUUCUGAGAGGAAGGCCCCCCACAUUGGAACUGAGACACGGUCCAAACUCUACGGGAGGCAGCAGUGAGGAAUAUUGGUCAAUGGACGAGAGUCUGAACCAGCCAAGUAGCGUGCAGGAUGACGGCCCUA